Oncorhynchus tshawytscha (Chinook salmon) is the source of this 1518-nucleotide long non-coding RNA. The record is from Ensembl. Lineage: Eukaryota; Metazoa; Chordata; Actinopteri; Salmoniformes; Salmonidae.
AGAAUGCAAAAGGCCCAGUACACAUUGCAAAUAAUGAUCUCUUUUAUUCACAGUUACUGUCAUUGGACAACUUAACAUAGCUGGAAGGGUAUAUUUUGAAAGUUACAGCAAUCCAAAUUCUAAUGAAUAUAAAACCUUGCAUGAUGAAUUAUUGCCAAAGCUGAAAGCGGUGUACAGUACAUUGAAUUCAUUUGAUGACAUACACAUCACAGGGUUCAGUCGUGGUAGUGUCAUCAUCGCUUUUGAAAUGAACCUCAACGACGUUUCAGCUGAUGUCCUUGCAAGCAAAACAGCAGAAUUGGAAAAAAUACUGAAUUCUACGUUCACGCUAGAGACAGCAGGCGUCGUUGAGAUCACAGUACCAGAAGGCCCGGUAAAAUAUGAUUCUAAACAGACAAUUCUCUGCCAAGCCAAGGAGGACAUGAAACCAAUUGAAUGGGUUUUGAAAAGGAGUGAUGGUAAAACAUUUGACGUAACAACAGGUACUGAUGCUACAGUGAUACCCACUAGUAGGACGACUACAAUUCUCCUCAGACAGGCAACGGAGAUCUGGGAAGGUCUGUACACGUGUGUCUUCAAUCCAAAAUCCUCCAAUGUGACCAUAAACCACAAAGCCAGUGCAACACUAGACAUAGCGCUCCUGCCACAAAUUGACAUCAGUAGCACGCCCCAAUUUCCGGACUGUUACAACAAAUAUAAUGCAAAUGCUAGAAUCUUUGUCAGAGUUCAAUGCGAAAUUAUGAAUAGCACUGAAAACUACAAUGUGACAUGGAAUUACACCAACACUGAAACUCCAUUAAAUGAACAAAAAGAUGUUACCGGUACUGGCAUAAUUUACAGGAUUGAUACGACUGUCAGCUGCAGCAGUUUACAAGAGCCAGCUGUAACAUGUACAUUUAUUAACAUCCUGUCCCAAGAGAAAAAUGCUACUGUCAAUAUCCCUGUUAUCUACAGUAGGUUUUCAGUACCAUUAUCCAGCAUGAACAGUGUAUUUUGCCAUAUGAACAAUUAUGCUCUGAAUUGGUGCAGUAACAUUCAACGGCAUACCCCAAUCUUCUUGGAAUGGGUAACAAACGCAAGCAUAUUUUCAGUGAAAUCUAAGAUAAAUAUACUGAACAAAAAUAUAAAAAUGCAACAUGGAACAUUUUCAAACAUUUUAUUGAGUUACAGUUCAUAUAAGGAAAUCAGUCAAUUGAAAUAAAUAUAUUAGGCCCUAUCUGUAGAUUUCACAUGACUGGGCAGGGGAGCAGCCAUGGGUGGGCCUGUGAUGGAACAGGGCCACCCACUUGGGAGCUGUCCCAGCCAAUCAGAAUGAGUUUUUCCACACAAAGGGUUUUAUUACAGACAUAAAUAUUCCUCAGUUUCAUCAGCAGUCUGGGUGGCUGGUCUCAGACAAUCCCACAGGUAAAGAAGCUGGAUGUGGAGGUUCCUGGGCUGGCGUGCUUACACGUGGUCUACGGUUGUGAGACAGGUUGGACAAACUGCCAAAUUCUCUAAAAUGACGUUGGAGGCGGCUUA